Molecule: long non-coding RNA, 320 nt
Organism: Mustela erminea (ermine)
Lineage: Eukaryota; Metazoa; Chordata; Mammalia; Carnivora; Mustelidae
Exons: 3
Source: RefSeq, a predicted model, not a curated record
GCUAGAAUGUGAACUCACACUGUACCUUCCUUGUUGCCAACACGGAGACAUGGUUUCCAUCUCUGAAGGAGGCAGAAUCAUCAUCCACUUCCCAGGCAUCAUUUGAAACUUCUUCUUGGAAACUGGUUAUCAUGCUGUAAAGAAAUCCAAACCACAUGCACAGACCAUUUUUAAGUGUUCCAGCCAAUAGCCUCAGCUGAGAUCCUAGCUGAUGGUCAACAUCAACUGUCACACAGGAAGCAAAUAGUAAUGGAUGGAGAAGGAGAGGUUGAAAAGGAAGAGAUGAGUUUCUUCGGGCCAAAUAAAAACCAUCUCAGAAG